This 495-nucleotide ribosomal RNA is filed under the name uncultured bacterium. RNAcentral's name for it is "partial 16S ribosomal RNA". It matches the Rfam family "Bacterial small subunit ribosomal RNA", at positions 30 to 507 of the family's 1533-position model. The record is from RNAcentral.
UGACCGCUGGCGGCGUGCCUCAUACAUGCAAGUCGCGCGAACGGACGAGAAGCUUGCUUCUCUGAUGUUAGCGGCGGACGGGUGAGUAACACGUGGAUAACCUACCUAUAAGACUGGGAUAACUUCGGGAAACCGGAGCUAAUACCGGAUAAUAUUUUGAACCGCAUGGUUCACAAGUGAAAGACGGUCUUGCUGUCACUUAUAGAUGGAUCCGCGCUGCAUUAGCUAGUUGGUAAGGUAACGGCUUACCAAGGCAACGAUGCAUAGCCGACCUGAGAGGGUGAUCGGCCACACUGGAACUGAGACACGGUCCAGACUCCUACGGGAGGCAGCAGUAGGGAAUCUUCCGCAAUGGGCGAAAGCCUGACGGAGCAACGCCGCGUGAGUGAUGAAGGUCUUCGGAUCGUAAAACUCUGUUAUUAGGGAAGAACAUAUGUGUAAGUAACUGUGCACAUCUUGACGGUACCUAAUCAGAAAGCCACGGCUAACUACGUG